UACACUCCUGCGGGAGGCAGCAGUGGGGAAUUUUGGACAAUGGGCGAAAGCCUGAUCCAGCAAUGCCGCGUGAGUGAAGAAGGCCUUCGGGUUGUAAAGCUCUUUUGUCAGGGAAGAAACGGUGAAAGCUAAUAUCUUUUGCUAAUGACGGUACCUGAAGAAUAAGCACCGGCUAACUACGUGCCAGCAGCCGCGGUAAUACGUAGGGUGCAAGCGUUAAUCGGAAUUACUGGGCGUAAAGCGUGCGCAGGCGGUUUUGUAAGUCUGAUGUGAAAUCCCCGGGCUCAACCUGGGAAUUGCAUUGGAGACUGCAAGGCUAGAAUCUGGCAGAGGGGGGUAGAAUUCCACGUGUAGCAGUGAAAUGCGUAGAUAUGUGGAGGAACACCGAUGGCGAAGGCAGCCCCCUGGGUCAAGAUUGACGCUCAUGCACGAAAGCGUGGGGAGCAAACAGGAUUAGAAACCCGUGUAGUCCCAUGAU
This 478-nucleotide ribosomal RNA is filed under the name uncultured organism. Its description in RNAcentral is "partial 16S ribosomal RNA". It matches the Rfam family "Bacterial small subunit ribosomal RNA", at positions 332 to 801 of the family's 1533-position model. The record is from RNAcentral.